UUGUGGCUCAGUGGUAGAGCACCUGCCUAGCAUGCAUGAGGCCCUGGGUUCGAUCCCCAGCACCACAUAAAAA
This is a non-coding RNA of Marmota monax (woodchuck), 73 nucleotides long. The record is from the annotation of a RefSeq genome assembly. Lineage: Eukaryota; Metazoa; Chordata; Mammalia; Rodentia; Sciuridae.